AGGGGUUUGGAUCCUGGGCUCAGAAUGAACGCUGGCGGCGUGCUUAACACAUGCAAGUCGAACGAGAAAGUCUCUUCGGAGACGAGUAAAGUGGCGAACGGGUGAGUAACACGUGAGAAUCUGCCCUUUAGAGAAGGAUACCCUAGAGAAAUUUAGGUUAAUACUGCAUAAGCCCUGCGGGGGAAAGACGGCCUCUUGCUGUCGCUAAAGGAUGAGCUUGCGUACUAUUAGUUAGUUGGUGGGGUAAAGGCCUACCAAGACGAUGAUGGUUAGCCGGCCUGAGAGGGUGAUCGGCCACAUUGGGACUGAGAUACGGCCCAGACUCCUACGGGAGGCAGCAGUGGGGAAUAUUGCACAAUGGGGGAAACCCUGAUGCAGCAACGCCGCGUGGAGGAUGAAGGUUUUCGGAUUGUAAACUCCUGUCGAGAGGGAAGAAAUGCCCGUGAGUAAUAUGCACGGGAGAUGACGGUACCUUUCAAGAAAGCUCCGGCUAACUUCGUGCCAGCAGCCGCGGUAAUACGAAGGGAGCGAGCGUUAUUCGGGAAUAACUGGGCCGUAAAGAGUGCGUAGGUGGCAAUUUAAGUCAGUUGUUAAAGAUCACGGCUUAACCGUGAGAAUGCGAUUGGAUACUGGAUAGCUAGAGGACAAGAGAGAGAAGUGGAAUUCUUGGAGUAGCGGUAAAAUGCGUAGAUCUCAAGAGGAACACCGAAACGAAGGCAGCUUCUUGGCUUGUUUCUGACCUCAAGCACGAAAGCGUGGGGAAGCAAACAGGAUUAGAU
RNAcentral lists this ribosomal RNA (779 nucleotides) under uncultured delta proteobacterium. RNAcentral describes it as "bacterial SSU rRNA". It matches the Rfam family "Bacterial small subunit ribosomal RNA", at positions 1 to 783 of the family's 1533-position model. Lineage: Bacteria; Deltaproteobacteria. The record is from RNAcentral.